CCUACGGGUGGCUGCAGUGAGGAAUAUUGGUCAAUGGGCGCGAGCCUGAACCAGCCAAGUCGCGUGAGGGAGGACGGCCCUACGGGUUGUAAACCUCUUUUUCCGGGGAGCAACGGGCGCCACGUGUGGCGUCACUGAGAGUACUCGGAGAAAAAGCAUCGGCUAACUCCGUGCCAGCAGCCGCGGUAAUACGGAGGAUGCGAGCGUUAUCCGGAUAUAUUGGGUUUAAAGGGUGCGUAGGAGGAUCGUGUAGUCAGUGGUCAAAUUGAGGGGCUCAACCCCUUCCCGCCAUUGAUACUGGCGUUCUUGAGUGGAAGAGAAGUAUGCGGAAUGCGUGGUGUAGCGGUGAAAUGCAUAGAUAUCACGCAGAACCCCGAUUGCGAAGGCAGCAUGCCGGCUUCCGACUGACGCUGAAGCACGAAAGCGUGGGGAUCGAACAGGAUUAGAUACCCUUGUAGUC
Molecule: ribosomal RNA, 460 nt
Filed under: uncultured bacterium
Lineage: Bacteria
Description: partial 16S ribosomal RNA
Rfam family: Bacterial small subunit ribosomal RNA
Source: RNAcentral